RNAcentral lists this ribosomal RNA (468 nucleotides) under uncultured bacterium. Its description in RNAcentral is "partial 16S ribosomal RNA". It matches the Rfam family "Bacterial small subunit ribosomal RNA", at positions 28 to 507 of the family's 1533-position model. The record is from RNAcentral.
GACGAACGCUGGCGGCGUGCUUAACACAUGCAAGUCGAACGGAAAGGCCCUGCUUUUGUGGGGUGCUCGAGUGGCGAACGGGUGAGUAACACGUGAGUAACCUGCCCUUGACUUUGGGAUAACUUCAGGAAACUGGGGCUAAUACCGGAUAGGAGCUCCUGCUGCAUGGUGGGGGUUGGAAAGUUUCGGCGGUUGGGGAUGGACUCGCGGCUUAUCAGCUUGUUGGUGGGGUAGUGGCUUACCAAGGCUUUGACGGGUAGCCGGCCUGAGAGGGUGACCGGCCACAUUGGGACUGAGAUACGGCCCAGACUCCUACGGGAGGCAGCAGUGCGGAAUAUUGCACAAUGGGCGGAAGCCUGAUGCAGCCACGCCGCGUGCCGGAUGACGGCCUUCGGGUUGUAAACCGCUUUCGCCUGUGACGAAGCGUGAGUGACGGUAAUGGGUAAAGAAGCACCGGCUAACUACGUG